GCUACACAUGCAGUCGAACGCUGAAGCCUGGUGCUUGCACCGGGUGGAUGAGUGGCGAACGGGUGAGUAACACGUGAGUAACCUGCCCCUGACUUCGGGAUAAGCCCGGGAAACUGGGUCUAAUACCGGAUACGACUGCCGGACGCAUGUCUGGUGGUGGAAAGUUUUUUCGGUUGGGGAUGGGCUCGCGGCCUAUCAGUUUGUUGGUGAGGUAAUGGCUCACCAAGACGACGACGGGUAGCCGGCCUGAGAGGGCGACCGGCCACACUGGGACUGAGACACGGCCCAGACUCCUACGGGAGGCAGCAGUGGGGAAUAUUGCACAAUGGGGGAAACCCUGAUGCAGCGACGCAGCGUGCGGGAUGACGGCCUUCGGGUUGUAAACCGCUUUCAGCAGGGAAGAAGCGCAAGUGACGGUACCUGCAGAAGAAGUACCGGCUAACUACGUGCCAGCAGCCGCGGUAAUACGUAGGGUACGAGCGUUGUCCGGAAUUAUUGGGCGUAAAGAGCUCGUAGGUGGUUGGUCACGUCUGCUGUGGAAACGCAACGCUUAACGUUGCGCGUGCAGUGGGUACGGGCUGACUAGAGUGCAGUAGGGGAGUCUGGAAUUCCUGGUGUAGCGGUGAAAUGCGCAGAUAUCAGGAGGAACACCGGUGGCGAAGGCGGGACUCUGGGCUGUAACUGACACUGAGGAGCGAAAGCAUGGGGAGCGAACAGGAUUAGAUACCCUGGUAGUCCAUGCCGUAAACGUUGGGCACUAGGUGUGGGGGGCAUUCCACGUUCUCCGCGCCGUAGCUAACGCAUUAAGUGCCCCGCCUGGGGAGUACGGUCGCAAGGCUAAAACUCAAAGGAAUUGACGGGGGCCCGCACAAGCGGCGGAGCAUGCGGAUUAAUUCGAUGCAACGCGAAGAACCUUACCAAGGCUUGACAUACACCGGACCGUCCUGGAAACAGGUCCUCUUCUUUGAAGCUGGUGUACAGGUGGUGCAUGGUUGUCGUCAGCUCGUGUCGUGAGAUGUUGGGUUAAGUCCCGCAACGAGCGCAACCCUCGUUCUAUGUUGCCAGCACGUGAUGGUGGGAACUCAUAGGAGACUGCCGGGGUCAACUCGGAGGAAGGUGGGGAUGACGUCAAAUCAUCAUGCCCUUUAUGUCUUGGGCUUCACGCAUGCUACAAUGGCUGGUACAGAGAGAGGCGAACCCGUGAGGGCAAGCGAAUCCCUUAAAGCCAGUCUCAGUUCGGAUCGUAGUCUGCAAUUCGACUACGUGAAGUCGGAGUCGCUAGUAAUCGCAGAUCAGCAACGCUGCGGUGAAUACGUUCCCGGGCCUUGUACACACCGCCCGUCAAGUCACGAAAGUCGGUAACACCCGAAGCCGGUGGCCUAACCGUAAGGAGGGGCCGUCUAAG
Molecule: ribosomal RNA, 1405 nt
Filed under: Brevibacterium sp. NCCP-92
Lineage: Bacteria; Bacillati; Actinomycetota; Actinomycetes; Micrococcales; Brevibacteriaceae
Description: bacterial SSU rRNA
Rfam family: Bacterial small subunit ribosomal RNA
Source: RNAcentral